RNAcentral lists this transfer RNA (84 nucleotides) under Gammaproteobacteria bacterium. RNAcentral describes it as "tRNA-OTHER". It matches the Rfam family "tRNA". Rfam says of the family: Transfer RNA (tRNA) molecules are approximately 80 nucleotides in length. Their secondary structure includes four short double-helical elements and three loops (D, anti-codon, and T loops). The record is from RNAcentral. Lineage: Bacteria; Pseudomonadati; Pseudomonadota; Gammaproteobacteria.
GGACGAUUAGCUCAGUUUGGAGAGCACCUUCUACCCUUUAUCACCCGCGCAGAAUCACUGGUUCAAGCCCAGUAUCGUCCACCA